AAGUCGUAACAAGGUUUCCGUAGGUGAACCUGCGGAAGGAUCAUUAAAUUCAGUAGCUUGCUACUGUUAGGGGGGUCCGUUAGUCUGUAUAGUAUCACUACUGAUGAGCAGCACGACCCUCUGUCUAUACCCUUGUCUUUUGCGCACUCAUGUUUCCUCGGCGGCUUGAUACCCGCCGGCUGGAUCAAUCUAUAACCUUUUUAAUUUUCAAUCAGCGUCUGAAAAACCUAAUAAUUACAACUUUCAACAACGGAUCUCUUGGUUCUG
This 267-nucleotide unclassified non-coding RNA is filed under the name fungal sp. RNAcentral's name for it is "partial internal transcribed spacer region". The stretch from base 1 to 46 matches the Rfam family "Eukaryotic small subunit ribosomal RNA", at positions 1786 to 1831 of the family's 1831-position model. Lineage: Eukaryota; Fungi. The record is from RNAcentral. RNAcentral also lists the same sequence under 2 other names.